This 253-nucleotide ribosomal RNA is filed under the name uncultured Scytonema sp. Its description in RNAcentral is "partial 16S ribosomal RNA". It matches the Rfam family "Bacterial small subunit ribosomal RNA", at positions 524 to 776 of the family's 1533-position model. The record is from RNAcentral. Lineage: Bacteria; Bacillati; Cyanobacteriota; Cyanophyceae; Nostocales; Scytonemataceae.
UACGGAGGAUGCAAGCGUUAUCCGGAAUGAUUGGGCGUAAAGCGUCCGCAGGUGGUUUUGUAAGUCUGCUGUUAAAGCGUCAUGCUCAACAUGAUAAAGGCAGUGGAAACUACUGAACUCGAGUGCGUUCGGGGCAGAGGGAAUUCCUGGUGUAGCGGUGAAAUGCGUAGAGAUCAGGAAGAACACCGGUGGCGAAAGCGCUCUGCUAGGCCGCAACUGACACUGAGGGACGAAAGCUAGGGGAGCGAAUGGG